Molecule: long non-coding RNA, 626 nt
Organism: Pezoporus occidentalis (night parrot)
Lineage: Eukaryota; Metazoa; Chordata; Aves; Psittaciformes; Psittacidae
Exons: 3
Source: RefSeq, a predicted model, not a curated record
GGGGGUGCAGCGGCCGCCAUGUCAGCUGUGGGCAGCGGGGCAGGGACGCGAGGCCGCGUCUUUCCCCUCCUCCCGGCCGGGAAGUCACAAUCUAAGCAACUGUAUUAUAUCUGGUAUUGGAACGGCUAGACUUGGAGACUUAAAAAUAUCACAUCAUUGUAAUCCCGACAGCUGCAUUUAAUUGCAGAUGAUGUGCCUACGUUUUAAAAUAGAAAACGACAAGCAGUUACAUCACAUUUUUUGCCAGGUCCCCCCUGCACACCCCUUUGCAAGCGUGGCCUCCCUAAUGCCAACACCCAGAUUUCUGUGCCAGCCUCUGAAAAACAGGUGGAUGCCAAGAAAGGAAGGCUUUGGUAUGGAAAGGUUGCCCUACCUGUAAACCAAGCUUUGGCGUGCUGCUCUGGGUGCCUGCAGGGUUCGAGGGUGCUGGGCUGCAGGAUGAGAGUGCCUGUCACUCUUCAGGUGUCAUCUGCAACUCCAACAGGGAUUCCUUAUCACUCCUGGGAAAAGGUGGCAGGCAGAACUGAAGUGAAUCAUUGAAGGGGAGUAGCCCCUGGGCUGCCUCUUAGGUUGUUCUGAUACUUUGUAACUUUCUAUUCACAUAAAUAAUAAAGGCUUUAAAUUAA